AAAGGAAGUUGACGGGGAGCACCACGAACGGGUGGAGCUCGCGGUUUAAUUGAUUCAACGCCGGAAUCUUACCGGGGCCGACAGCAAUAUGAAGGCCAGGCUGAAGACUUUGCCGGAUUAGCUGAGAGGUGGUGCAUGGCCGUCGUCAGUUCGUACUGUGAAGCAUCCUGUUAAGUCAGGCAACGAGCGAGACCCACGCCCACAGUUGCCAGCGUACUCUCUGGAGUGACGGGUACACUGUGGGGACCGCCGCUGCUAAAGCGGAGGAAGGAAUGGGCAACGGUAGGUCAGUAUGCCCCGAAUAUCCCGGGCUACACGCGAGCUACAAUGGUUGGUACAAUGGGUAUCUACCCCGAAAGGGGACGGGAAUCUCCUAAAACCAAUCUUAGUUCGGAUUGAGGGCUGCAACUCGCCCUCAUGAAGCUGGAAUCCGUAGUAAUCGCGUUUCAACAGAACGCGGUGAAUACGUCCCUGCUCCUU
Molecule: ribosomal RNA, 480 nt
Filed under: uncultured Methanosaeta sp.
Lineage: Archaea; Methanobacteriati; Methanobacteriota; Methanomicrobia; Methanotrichales; Methanotrichaceae
Description: bacterial SSU rRNA
Rfam family: Archaeal small subunit ribosomal RNA
Source: RNAcentral